CUACGGGUGGCUGCAGUGAGGAAUAUUGCGCAAUGGACGAAAGUCUGACGCAGCCAUGCCGCGUGCAGGAUGACGGCGCUAUGCGUUGUAAACUGCUUUUAUAUGCCAAGAAACCUUCGGACGUGUCCGAAGCUGACGGUAGCAUAUGAAUAAGCACCGGCUAACUCCGUGCCAGCCGCCGCGGUAAUACGGAGGUGCAGGCGUUAUCCGGAUUUAUUGGGUUUAAAGGGUCCGUAGGCGGAUCAUUAAGUCAGUGGUGAAAGCCGGCAGCUCAACUGUCGAACGGCAUUGAUACUGGUGAUCUUGAAUACGGUUGAAGUUGGCGGAAUAGGUCAUGUAGCGGUGAAAUGCGUAGAUAUGACCUAGAACACCGAUUGCGAAGGCAGCCAACUAAGCCGUUAUUGACGCUGAGGGACGAAAGCGUGGGGAGCGAACAGGAUUAGAUACCCGAGUAGUC
This 457-nucleotide ribosomal RNA is filed under the name uncultured bacterium. RNAcentral describes it as "partial 16S ribosomal RNA". It matches the Rfam family "Bacterial small subunit ribosomal RNA", at positions 339 to 795 of the family's 1533-position model. The record is from RNAcentral.